RNAcentral lists this ribosomal RNA (448 nucleotides) under uncultured bacterium. Its description in RNAcentral is "partial 16S ribosomal RNA". It matches the Rfam family "Bacterial small subunit ribosomal RNA", at positions 29 to 523 of the family's 1533-position model. The record is from RNAcentral.
AGCGAACGCUGGCGGCAGGCCUAACACAUGCAAGUCGAACGGACCCUUCGGGGUUAGUGGCGGACGGGUGAGUAACACGUGGGAACGUGCCUUUAGGUUCGGAAUAGCUCCUGGAAACGGGUGGUAAUGCCGAAUGUGCCCUUCGGGGGAAAGAUUUAUCGCCUUUAGAGCGGCCCGCGUCUGAUUAGCUAGUUGGUGAGGUAAUGGCUCACCAAGGCGACGAUCAGUAGCUGGUCUGAGAGGAUGACCAGCCACACUGGGACUGAGACACGGCCCAGAAUCGUACGGGAGGCAGAAGUGGGAAUCUUGCGCAAUGGGCGAAAGCCUGACGCAGCCAUGCCGCGUGAAUGAUGAAGGUCUUAGGAUUGUAAAAUUCUUUCACCGGGGACGAUAAUGACGGUACCCGGAGAAGAAGCCCCGGCUAACUUCGUGCCAGCAGCCGCCGCGG